This 254-nucleotide ribosomal RNA is filed under the name uncultured bacterium. RNAcentral's name for it is "partial 16S ribosomal RNA". It matches the Rfam family "Bacterial small subunit ribosomal RNA", at positions 524 to 777 of the family's 1533-position model. The record is from RNAcentral.
UACGUAGGGUGCAAGCGUUGUCCGGAAUCAUUGGGCGUAAAGCGCGCGUAGGUGGCUUCGUAAGUCCGUUGUGAAAGUCAAAGGCUCAACCUUUGAAAGCCGAUGGAUACUGCGGAGCUAGAGUACGGAAGAGGCGAGUGGAAUUCCUGGUGUAGCGGUGGAAUGCGCAGAUAUCAGGAGGAACACCAAUAGCGAAGGCAGCUCGCUGGGACGUUACUGACACUAAGGCGCGAAAGCGUGGGGAGCGAACAGGA